This 253-nucleotide ribosomal RNA is filed under the name uncultured bacterium. Its description in RNAcentral is "partial 16S ribosomal RNA". It matches the Rfam family "Bacterial small subunit ribosomal RNA", at positions 524 to 776 of the family's 1533-position model. The record is from RNAcentral.
UACAGGGGGUGCAAGCGUUAAUCGGAAUUACUGGGCGUAAAGCGCGCGUAGGCGGUUAUUUAAGUCGGGUGUGAAAGCCCCGGGCUCAACCUGGGAAUUGCAUCCGAUACUGAGUAACUAGAGUAUGAGAGAGGGAGGUAGAAUUCCACGUGUAGCGGUGAAAUGCGUAGAUAUGUGGAGGAAUACCGGUGGCGAAGGCGGCCUCCUGGCUUAAUACUGACGCUGAGGUGCGAAAGCGUGGGGAUCAAACAGG